This 449-nucleotide ribosomal RNA is filed under the name uncultured bacterium. RNAcentral's name for it is "SSU rRNA". It matches the Rfam family "Bacterial small subunit ribosomal RNA", at positions 26 to 518 of the family's 1533-position model. The record is from RNAcentral.
AGAACGAACGCUGGCGGCAGGCCUCAAACAUGCAAGUCUAGGGGGCGUAGCAAUACGUCACCGGCGGACGGGUGCGUAACACGUGGGAAUGUACUUAUUGGUUCGGAACAACUCAGGGAAACUUGAGCUAAUACCGAAUGUGCCCGAAAGGGGAAAGAUUUAUCGCCAAUAAAUCAGCCCGCGUCCGAUUAGCUAGUUGGUGGGGUAAAGGCCCACCAAGGCGACGAUCGGUAGCUGUUCUGAGAGGAAGAUCAGCCACACUGGGACUGAGACACGGCCCAGACUCCUACGGGAGGCAGCAGUUGGGAAUCUUGGACAAUGGGGGAAACCCUGAUCCAGCCAUGCCGCGUGAGUGAUGAAGGCCUUCGGGUUGUAAAACUCUUUCGACGGGGACGAUAAUGACGGUACCCGUAGAAGAAGCUCCGGCUAACUUCGCGCCAGCAGGCCGC